GAGUUACAUGAUUGUCACGCAGACAUUGAUAUCUCAUUUGAAAGGCGCGCCAAAAGAUUGCAACUCUCCACAACUUAAAUAUAUAGGUAGGAUAAUUUGGGAGCGAUCGGUCCAAAAAUGAACUAAGGGGUGUGUGUGUGUGUAAAUUAAUGGCUUGAUGAUGAUCGGCAUGACAAAUAAAAUAUUGUACAGUAAUGAGAAGGAUGGAAAAUGGUUGGUUAUGAGCAUCCGCAAGACUUCCCUUUACUUCCUCCUGAGCACAGAUAGAAAUCGGCCAGACGAUUUCUCCUUGCGCCAUUCACCACAAUCCCCAACCUGCCAUAAAAACUUGCAAGUCUUAGUGCUUGUGAUGAACAUGUACAGAAACAGAUAUGAUAUAUAAAGCCAUUUGUAGCACAAAACAGAAUUGCUAAAUACCUCUUUUGCUAUUUGUUGCAGGAUCUCUAUAAUCUCCGAGAAGUCAGGCCUUAGAGCUGGAUCCUGUUGCCAGCAUUUUUCUAGCAGUUCGGCAAGCUUUGGUUGAGUAUUCUUGGGUAUGGUAGGCCGUAGACCCUGAAACCACGUGAAUGAAAAGCACCACACAAAUUCUUAUAAUCAUGGACUCAUCAUAUGAAAUAGGGGAAAAAUGCUUGUUGAAAAUGAUUUUUACCUUUUGAACCACUCCAACAGCUGCUUGUAAAGGGGUUAAGUAUUCAUAUGGAAUCUGGGAAGCCAAAUAUGCAAAAAUGAUCAAUUUGCAAGAUCAGAAAUUAACUUACUGAAAAGCGAGGGGAUAUUAUACCAAAAUGACCAGCAGUACCUUUCCAGUUAACAACUCCCAUAACACGAUCCCAAAACUAAAUACGUCAGCCUUAUGGUCAUACGGCUUGUGCUCAAUGACCUUCAAUGCAAGAUAAAAGUUGUAAGAAAAUGGCGAGAUGAACCAUUUAGAAGAUGCAUGGUGGUUACCACCAGCACAACUAAUGAUGCAUCCAAUUUUCAACAAGAAUCAUGGGGGAGGGGAGAGUAAAGCUAUGGUUUAUUUAACAAUGGUAAACAAGUGAUCUCUCUCAGUGACAGCAAGAAGCAAAUUAAACACUAAGAUUAAUGUCAAGAUAGUUUGCACACUAGUACUGGGGAGGAUAUUGGUAAAGCUGGGAACACUUUCAGAAUAAAGUGUAAUGAAAACAAAGGCGCACCUCAGGAGCCAUCCAUCUAUAGGUCCCAGUUUCCGCGGUCAUAAUUCCAGUCUGAGCUUUCACUCUGGCAACACCAAAAUCAGCAACCUUGACUACCUGAAAUGAAAUGAACAGAUGUUUCUUAUAGAUACACAUACGGUACAAAGCUUCAGUUGAAUUUGAUUUAUCUUCCUCAGUGAUCAUGAUGAGAGUCGAAGACGUGUGGAGGAGGAUGAAAAAGACUAGGUAAAAAACAUCACUGAAGCUAAUCGAAUAGUAAACAAAGCACAUGCUGAAAAAAUUAAAUACGGUAAAGAAGAAUCUUACUUCAUUUUCAUCCAAGAGAAGAUUUGCAGCCUUCAAAUCCCUAUGAAUUAUUUUAUUUUGGUGCAAGUAAUCCAUUCCUUUAGAAACAUCUAUUGCUACUUUAAGUAAAUUUGGCAGCUUAAAAACACCCCCCUGCUUGUGUAGGUAGUCAUAGACACUUCCUCCGUACAUGAAUUCUAUUUAACAAAAAAGAAAAACAAAGAAAAAUCAAGAUACAAAAUGUUGAAUGGGAGAUGAAAAAUUAAAAGGAAAAAAAGAAAGAAAUUCACACGAGGAAUAAAUAAACAUAACAAAUGUUUCAAAACUCAUCGGCAUUAAUUUACCUGUUACAAUGCACAAACUUGGAGGCUUGGUGCAUGCACCGAUAAAUUGUACGACAUUCUUAUGUCGAACUUUCCUACAAGUUCAAAGAAUAUGUAAAAACAAAGGAAAUUAAAAACCAAACCCGAGAAACAGCCUAGAGUUGUAGAAAAACUAUGUAGCUGAAGACGUUGUGAAAGACCUCAUUAUGUAAACUUCUUGGGCGAAUUCUUUCUGCAAGUCUGAAUUUACUCGCUCAGGCUUGAGAAUUUUGAUAGCCACUUCCUGACUACAGUAUGUACCUUUGUACCUAAGCAAAUAGGAUGGAACAGUUGAAUAAGAAACCAAACAUCAACAGAAAUUGUAUCUAAAAGACAGUGAACUUACAGAUCACCAUACGAUCCAGAGGCAACUUUGUUCUCAAACUUCAAAUAUUUAGGAUCAAUUUCCCACACAUCAGUCCCGUCAUUGGGUAUUGCAACAUGAUUAGUAUCGUAUUUGAUCCUAAAUUGCUCGCGAUCCUGCAAACACAUUUAAAGUAAAUUGGAAUGCAUAUCAAAACAAGACAUAAUGAAUGAAACCGCACAAGGAAAAACAUGAAUAGGUUCUAGUCAAUUGAUGUGGUGAAGAGAUUAUGGCAUAAACUAGACAUUAUCAAUUAUCUUAUUGCAUUGGAAAAUUAAAGAAUAAGCAGAAGCAAAAUCUGAGAACUUCAAAAUGGUACCCAUCAGCAACCUAUGGUGAAUUAUUCCUGAAGUAAAUUCAGUCACAUGUGUUCUACCAUAUUCAAAACAUUGCUAGUAGCGUUAUGCCUGUCAUAUACAAGGCAUAUCAUCUAAUUUGAGGAGGUUGCUCGUGGAAGAAAUAGAUGAAACAAUUUUAAAAUGAUGAAGAUAAAAAAUACAUGCCAACAAAACAAGCAGGUUCCUAACACACAACUUAAUCAUCGGGAUAAAUUCUUAUUCAAUACAUGGCCUAGUCUAUUGCAAUCCUGGUCUACUCUUGCCCAUUUCCAGUACGUACUAUAAGAGUUGCUAAUUGGGAAUUCCUGAAUUGAACUCCUUUUUUCGUUUUCUUAUCACUAAUUAACUUGUGACCAAGUUUUAUUUCUACCUACAGCACCCCAUAAAAUAACCAAAUGGUAAAAAGAUCUGAAACUGGAUGAAGGAAAUUACAUCAAUUAUUGGAAAGCAAUUUAUAAAACAUUUCAUUGCAUCCCGCCCAAUUCACUGGCUUUAGAUAUAAUUAACUUCAAUUUGAGAGGACCAUUUUAGCAAAUAGACCAUUGGUUAGAAGAGAAUAUUCUGCUUGCAGGGUCAUGCAAAGCUUGCCUGAUCCUCAUCAAAUAAUAUGACAUCUCCACUAAAUAAGAAACAAGAAAAUCAAGAGACUGGAAAUAUAAUCAAUUCAAGUACAAAUAAAUUCAUAAAAACUCUUGUAGAACACCACAUUCAACAGUGAGCAUUGUGAGUGAGAGAAACCCAGAUUUAUUAUAAGCUGCAAACUCCAUAAGAAGACACUUGCGAUCACUACAAAUCAAAUCAGGGAAUUACCUCAAUCUUGGAAACUUCCUUUGCCAACGCAUCUCUGAGCUGCUCCGUUUCCUGAAAAUUAUGAACAGUCUGUUAAUCGAUCAAGUUCGUUGUGUAUUUAAAAUAUGUUCCUGAUUAAUGGAAACCUUAUGUAAUAAAAGGUGUGUAUGUUAAGUACCUCAUAUGGCCAACCAUCAACUGUCGAAAAUGCGUGCGCUUCUUGGAUGUUCAACCCAAUGUCAGCAACUAAGGAAGUCAGCUGUAAAUUCGCGAAACAUCAAUGACCUCAUAAAUAACUAGAAGCACAAUAAACGACAAAUACAUUAAACCAAUGGUUAAAUGUUUAUUUUAGCAGUACCAGACACCAUCACAGAUUUCCUGCUAACAUAAAAUGUCAGUUAUUCAUGCAACUUGACUAGCCAGUAAAAUGCAUGCUACCAGCUGGUGGAAUAUAGCUCAAAACGAAUCCUAAAAUUUGUUUGCAGUUCUUCCAAAUUGAAUACCAAAACAGCCUCCAAAUUGAAAGAAGAAGCAGAAUAAACGACGAUUUUCCCCAGCAAAUUGAAACAAUGAUUGAGAAAUAAAAUGAGCUUGGCUUACUUCAACAAGCAUGCUUAUCUUACCUGACUCAGGAGUUUUGGCUUGUCAUCAGUUGAAAAAGUAAUUUCAUGCAUGUAUCCUUCAAAACCUAAAAACACCUGCCGAAAACUUGUAUCAUGAACAAAUCCUCGCGUAGUCUUAAAAUCUACAGCCUAAUCAAUCGUAAAUUCUAUUCAUAAUCAAAUCUUCACAAAUUAAUAUCAAGAAGCAUCGGUAAUAUAAAAAACAUAACAAAUCAGUAAAUAGACGAUACCUGAACAAGGCGAAUUUCAAUCGCCGGUCGAUUAGCAGGAUCGUGAGCCAAACGCAGCAAUCUCUUAUGCGUUAACACAUCUUCUGCUCUCUCCACAUUCACAUCUAACGCAUAUCUACACCACAAAAGGUACCAAAAUCAGAAUUAUCCUCCAAAAGAUAAAAAUAAAAAGACAAAGAAAAAACUAAUAAUUCAAAUUAAAAAAAAACACAAAAUUUUCAUUUCCGUAACGAAGAGGCAACACCAAGUCACAUACAUACACAUAUAUCGUAUAGAUACACGUACAUGUGCGGAAACUAACACACACACACACGCACCUGGUAGGGAGGCUAUUGAAGGGAGUCCAGAGUUGAUCAUCAAAACCAGGUAGAUUAGCUUCUUCGUGAUUAGAUUCUUGAAGACGACGAAGAAUCUCAUUAUAAACCUCAAGUUUCUGCUGCAUCCUUUGCUGUUGUUGCCUUCCUUGUAACACCGAAUCAGACAAUGUCGUGUUCGUGUUCUCAUUCACUCUGCUGCCUGAGCUCUCAUCACUAAAAAAAAAAAAAACAAUAAAUAAAGCAAAAUGCAGAGAGAGAAGUUGCGAAUUUUAUUUAUUUAUUUCGCUUCUUACGUUAAAGAAAAAGGGAGGUAGGUUUAAGAGGAGAUUAAGGGGAGGGUUAAGAGAGGAUUAAGGUUUAAUUAAUCUAAUAUUAUGGAUUCAUAGUGGGUGCUGAAGAGAGAGAGGCUGCGUUGUGAGUUUGUUUGGAUGGGUUUUUGGCUUUCCUUCCGCUGCUCUCUAAAUAUGUAAGUUGUUUAGAGGCGUAGUGCGCACCAUCGCUCGUUAUCCUCCCCCAAAUAAAAUAUUAGCGGGGAGAGUUAUAUGCUGUGUGUACAUUACAUCAACUUCCAUGCAUCUUUACAACGUUUUUUUUUGUUUUGUUUUUUAAAUCCAUCUUUUUGACUUGGAAUCAUUCCGUUGAUGCUAUUUAAAUCAGAAUGUUUUGGGACUGAAUGCAGUGCACGAGUUAAAAAAAGGUUUUAAUUUUAGAAAAGCAAUAUUUUUUAUAAACUAUUUAAUUUUAUUAUAUGAAUUUUAAUCUUAAUGCAUGAAUUCGACCAACUAAAAGAUAUUGUUUGAAUAUUUAAUUAAAAAAUAAAAGAAGAUGCCAUGUUUGUGUCAUACGAAGACAAGCCCAUUUCCACCCCUAUUAAUCUAUAAAGGUUCAAAAAAGGCAAAUCCAAAGGGUCCCGCUGAUUCUGGACAAGCUCACCUUGGAAAUACCAUAAUGUCCAUAAAUAUUUGGUUUAUGUUUCCUAUUUGAUUUAUAAGGAAGGGGCGUUGGGAGUUGGUAGAGAUGUUUUUUAUUUUUAAAUAUAUUAAAAUAAUAUUUUUUAUAUUUUAAAAUUUAUUUUUGAUAUAUGUCAAAAUAUUCUAAAAAUAUUUUUAAAAAAUAAUUUAAAAUAAAAAAUAUAUAAAUUUUAACAAAAAAAAAAAGAGGAUCAACUUCAAUACUACCGAUCAGUGUAGAAAUACUCCAUGAAGAUGCGGCACCCACUUCAGUUUGUCUAAGAAUGUCGAAGAUAAAGCCAAAAUAAAACCACAAGGUGGCACUCCUCAAUGCUUGGAGCAAGGGCUUGUCAAGGGGGUUAAGAGUAAUUGCAUGUUGAUGGUUAUCUUGAUCUUUUUUCUGAUCAAGAAACAUAAUCUCCCUCGAAGUAUUUGCCAUGAAACACGAGGAACAGGGACCAAGGAGAAAGCUAAGAAGGUGCGGCUGAGUAAUGAGAUUCAUGGGAGAGGUGGAUUUUGGACCAGCAGUACUUAGAUGAAGUUACUUAAAAGCACUUUUCUUUCCUCUGUUGAUGCUAGCUUGUAACGUGAAAAAAAAAGAGAGAGAAGAAAAAAUGGGGAAUUAACAAAAUAAUUCAACUAAUAAAGUUUCCUUUGCUGUAAUUUUAAGAAAUACUAAUCCAAAUAUACACUUUUAAAAAAAAAUGUAACGGUCAAAUUAUUUAUGAAUAAUUAUUUACUCUCGAACUUAUGUAUUGAAAAAAAUCGAGUAUUUUGUCUUGAAUUCAAAAUAAAAUGAUACCACGACAAAAUAUGCAAUAAAUAUGACAGUUUUGCUAUUUUAUGUUAUUUCAAGCAAGUUGAUAGCACGAAAAAAGAAGAUGAGAACGAAGCAAGCAAACAAAAAAAAAUACUUUUUUAAUUAGAUAUAAUUUUUUUUAAUUGUGGGUAUCUAGAUCAACUUAUGCGUGUCUCGACUAAUUCCUCGGGAUCCUGAAAUUAAUAAUUAUAUAAAUUUUAAAUGAUUCUAAAAUUUAUAAUAUUUAAACUAAUAAUUUUAAAGAAAUAAAUUUAGGAUUUAACCAAAAUACACUGCUUGUAAUUUUAAUGAGGUAUUUCUUAAUUAACAGCUAGGUGUGCUAAAAAAAUAUGGUCUCACAAGGUAAUUACCUUAUAAUCUUGGGGGCAAUGUCUUGCUCGUUGAGCAUGAUACACGUUAUCAUCACACGGUGCUCCAUGUUAAUGGUAUCAGAUGUGGAAAAUCUGAUAAUUAAACAAAUAAAGUUUCCUUUACUGUAAUUUUAAGAAAUACUAAUCCAAAUAUAUACUUUAAAAAAAAAUGUAACGGUUAAAUUAUUUUUGACUAAUUAUUUACUCUCGAACUUAUGUAUUGAAAAAAAUCGAGUAUUUUGUCUUGAUUUCAAAAUAAAAUGAUACCACAAUAAAAUAUGCAAUAAAUUUGACAGUUUUGCUAUUUUAUGUUAUUUCAAGCAAGUUGAUAGCACGAAAAAAGAAGAUGACAACGAAGAAAAAAAAAACUUUUUUAAUUAGAAAUUUUUUAUUAUUAUUAUUAUAAACGUAGGUGUUUGAGCUAGCUUAUACGUACCACGACUAAUCUUACGGGUCCUGAAGUUAACGACCAUGUAAGCCUCCAGUAGCCAUCAUAUUAGCAACUAAAGAGCUCGAACUUGAGACCACAGGGAAAACAAAUUUUUUAGUCUCAAAUUUUUAUUACUGAGCCAACUAGUAGAUAAUUUAAUUAAAUAUUUUUUAAUUAACAGCUAGGUGUGCUAGGAAAAAAAAAAAAAAGUUCUCACAAGGUAUAUUACCUUAUAUCAUCACACGGUGCUCCAUGUUAACGGUAUCAGAUGUGGAAAAUCAACCACAGUCACGAAUUGCAAGAUACACAUGCAAAUCAUGGGUGUGUUGGUAUAAAUAAAUGUUCUUCAGAGUCAAAAUUGUUAGCUAUUUGGAGACAAGCAAUGUCCCACCUCCACUAUGUGCUUAGUGGGAAUACCUAAUCUCCACUUAGCACAAGUGGAGGCAAACGGUGGGCAUAAAUCAUGGCAUGAUUUAUGCCCUUCACUCCUAGCUUAAUAUAUAUGUAUGCUCAGUGAAGAGCUGUUGUGCUGGGGUGUGAAGAACGCAGAGAAGAGUGAAAACACAGAGAGAAAAACGUGAGAGAGAGAGAGCUUGAGUUGAGUAGAGAAGAUUUUCUCCUCCUCCUUGUUUUGUUGUUUGUAUUGUUUCUAAGCUUGAUUAAUACAAACCAGUAGCUCCGUGGAGUAGGCAAGUUGCCGAACCACGUAAAUUUGUGUGUGUUUGAGUUCUGGAAUUACCCAACAAAAAUCACUAAUAAAUCUUAUUGAUAGAGUGGAUUAAUAAUUAAUAUAGAAAUAAUUAAGAGCUUGAAAUGAAGCUUUAAAACACAACUCGCCUAAUCAAGAGUAGAUAGAUUUAAAUUGUUUUUUAAUUGGUUAGAUUUUAUGUUUUUCUUCAAUAAUUAUAAGUUUGAAUUUUCUUGAAAUUAUUGAAGGUUUACAUAAUUAUUAACUUGAGGACCCGUAGAAUUAAUCGAGUUACAUAUAAGCAGUUUCGAACACCCAAAUUAAUAAUAAUAAUAAUAAUAAUAAUAAUAAUAAAUUAGAUAGAUUUAUAUUUGAUACGAAUAUAAUUUCAGGAGCCGUGCGCGUAUAGAUUUGGUAUUAAUAAAAUAAACCAUGACCAGGACAAUCUUUUAGAAAGAAUUCUAGGCCACGUGUCAAUCCAGGAUAGCGAGAUAGAGCGGUUGACCUGAGCUAGCAGACACGCGAUUCGCAUUAGCAGAGGAAUAAUCGGGUAAAAUAAAGUGACAUGACAUGGAAGAUAAACAAGAAGAAAUGACUUGGACGGCACGUGGAAAGAUGGGAGUGGAUGAAGUGGUAAAGUGGCCUUUGGGUUUCACCAAAGGUCACGUGAGAUUAGCAGAGGAGAUUUGACAUCGAAGCGGCAACCUGUCGCCGCCAGACUUGCAAGAAUAUGCGAUUCCGAGUCCAAGAAUCCAUGUUUCUAGUGGAGUUUAAAUAAAUGAAUAUUUAAUCUUAUCCGAAACCGCAACGAAGGCAUGCAGUUUCGGUUAGUUAUUAAUAUAUGCAGGAGAACGGAAACAUUUCGAGUCAAAUUUUCUCUUGUUUUAAUAAUCUGGGUAGUGAAAAGAAAUGAGGAUAUUCUCCGAACUCUUUUAACAUCCUGCUUGAAUUCUUUCUCAGAUCGAUUUUUAGUAAACGGUUCAUGACUAGGUUAGCAUAUUUCCCAGAAAUUAUUUUAUUUUGAGUUAAUUAAAACCUGAAAAAAAAAUACAAGCAGAUAGUUGCGUUUUAGAGUCAUUUUUAUUGCAUUUGUUAAGCAGAGAUAAAUAAUAAUAAUAAUAAUAAUAAUAAUAAUAAUAAUAAUAAUAAUAAUACAGUUAUAAAAUUUAUUAGAAAAGUUGACUGGUUCAAGAAUAAAUUAUUAAAAUAUAAUUAAAAGCAAAUCAGAGAACUCUCUGAUUUGCUAAAAUAAUUUCUUUUAAAAUUGACAUUAAAAUAAUAUUCUGAAAAUACUGUUAUUGGGUAGUCAUUUGCAAUGUCCUCCACCAAACGAGAAUGACUGUUCAUUUGACGGUGGGCUUAUUUGCAUGGCCCUUUUACUUAGAUCAUACAAAAUUUAAAUUUAGACGGCGCAAAAAUAAGCACAUAAUUUCUAUCCGAUCUCGGCCCGUGGAUAAAUCCCUGCCCUUAAUAUUACUAGUGGACAAGUCCCCUGUCUAUAGGCUACAAUUUCAGGAGGUGGUAGCAAAUUUUGUUUUAGUUAGGGUUGCUGGAAUAAUUUAUUGCUGCAUGCAAGGUUUUUUUUUAGGUUUUACUUACCAUGGACACGCACUGUGUUGUGGGUAGGGUCAAGUUUUUUCUAUAUAUAUAUAUAUAUUAUUUAGAUAUUGCUACUGAUUGUUUUUUUAAUAGAAAAAAAUUUAAAUGGAGUGUAGUUGAUAUGAUGUGACCUGGUCGACUUUACGGGUUUAAAAGCAACUCAAAUAACCCGUAAAAAUAUACUUUUAAACAAAAAGAAAUCAAGGUGAUAUUUUUUUUUAAUAUUAAGAUAACAACAUAUCGUAUAAUUUUAGUCAGUUUGAGUUAACAUGUUAAACUCACGACCAAAGUUAUAAAACUAUGAUAACCCUAUAGAAAACAAAUCAAAAUAAAUUAUGAAGUAUAUUUUUCAAUCAGCCCAAUGUUGAAUGAUGAAAUUGAAAAAAAAAUCAAUUAAAAACAACCUAAAAAACAACCUGAGUUAACCUAUCAAACCCGCGAUCCGGGUCAUAAGACCAAGAUAUCUCAAUAGAAAGCAAACCGAAACAGAUAACAAAAUUCAAUUCACUAUUUGCCCAAUGUUUAAGAAUGAUAUUAAAAUAAUAAAUCAAUUAGAAAAAUACAAAAAAAAUAACCCGAGUCAAUCCGUCAAACCCAUGAGCUAAGUCAUGAGACCAAGAUAACCUCAUAGAAAAAAACAAAAAAACAACCUGAUUUAACCCGGGUUAACCUGCCAAAUAUGUGACUUUGGUAAUGAAAUUAAAGCUGUGUUUGUUUCCCGGAAACUGGUUUCCGGGAAACCACUUUCCAAACUUUCCUGUGUUUGUUUGCUAUUAAGAAAGUUGGUCAACGAAAAACACUUUUUUGUCAACGAAAAACAUUUUCCAGUCAAAAGAAAAUUUGGCUUGGUUUUCAGGAAAGUGUUUUUCUUUAAUUUUGGACGGAAAACACUUUCCGGAAGUUGUGAAAAAUUUAGAAAUGUCAUAUUAUUUGCUGAUUAUAUCAAAUUUGGUCCUCAAACUUUUAAUUGCUAUAUAUAAAUUUUGUUUUGAAUAUUUUUUUUCAAUUUCAUCCCUUAAAAUUUAAUUUUUAUAUUAAUUUUGGUCCUCAUUUUUAUAAUUUUUAUUUGCUUUUCCCUUAUCAUUUUUUAAUUGAAAUUUUUUAUCAAUCAAAUUUGAUCCUCAUUCUUUUGAUUGUUACUUAUUUUAUUUGAAAUAAUUUAUGAAAUUUUAAUUAUUAUUAUUUUAAUUUCUUCAUCUUUCAAUUUUUUUAUUUUUUAGAUUUGAUCUCUAUUAUUUUGAUUAUUAUUUAUUUUAUUUGAGAUAAUUUAUGAAAUUAUAUUUUUUUUCAAUUUCAUUCUCAUUCAACUUUUUAAUUUGUAAGAUUUGUUCCUCAUUAUUUUAAUAAACUUGAAAAAAAUAAAACAUUAAUAAGCUAUUUUCCAGCUCAUUUUCCAUGACAUACCCAAACACUGGAAAAUGUUUUCCAACUUAUUUUCCAUUACACUACCAAACAUCGAAAAAUAAUUCACUUUCUCGGAAUUCACUUUCCAAAAGAAAACUACUUUUCAGCAAACAAAUAGGACCUUAAGAUAAUCCUAUAAAGAGCAAAUCAAAACAAAUUAUGAAUCUCAAUUCUUAAUCGACCAUAUCAGAUCCAAUAUUAAAUGAUGAAACUUAUAAAUUUUUAAAUUAAAAAAAUGAUACGAAAAAUAAGUCUUGGUUUAUAAGACUAAGAUAACCUAAUAAAUAGGAAACCAAAACAAAGUAUGAAGCCUAAUUCCCUAUCAAACACAAUAAUAAUUGAUGAAAUUAGGGGGAGAAAGUCAAUUAAAAAAAGUUUAAGAAAAAAACUGAGUCAACUAGGUUAAACUGUCAAACUCAUAACUCAGGUCAUGAGACGAGAACAAUCCAAUAAAAAGUAAAUCCAAUUUUGAAGGACAUAUGACCCGAGUCACACUACCGAGAUAACCUCUUAGAAAAAAAUAAAAAAAUGACCUGAUUUAAUCGAGUUUAAAAUGCUAAAACUCGUGAACCUGAUCAUGAGAUCAAGAUAUCUCCAUUGAAAGUAAAUCAAAACAGAUUAUGAAACUUAAUUUUCAACUGAUUCAAUGUUGAAAGAUAAAAUUGUAAAAAACAAUCAAUUAAAAAAAGGACAAAAAACAACCCGAGUCAAUUCGGGUUAAUUUGUUAAGCACUAUUAAUUAUCAGGUCAUGAGGCCGAAAUAACCUAAUAGAAAAUAAACAAAACAAAUCAUACAACUUAAUUCUUGAUCAACCUAAUAUUAAAGGAUAAAAUUAAAAAAAAAUAAUUAAGAAAAAAUAAGAAUCAACCAGAUUAACCCGUGAUUCGUGUUAUGAGAGUAAAAUAACCUAAUAAAAAAUAAAUGUGAUAUUGAAAGAUGAGAUUUUAAAAAAUAAAAAUAAAAAAGCAUUGAUAGAAAAAGAAAUCAAAGAAGAAAAAAGAAGCACUAUUUAAAUAAAUACUGAUUUGUGAGGAGAGCACAGCAAAAACCCCUCUUUUAGCUAGUUUUUUUCUUAAUCUGAUACAGCCAUCUUAUUAGCUAGCUAUUUUGAUUUUGUACUCGAAAUCCAUUUAAAGCAAUUUUUGGUUUACCUUGUUCUUGGAUUGCCAUUUGUUAUAACUUGUACCAAGCAACUCCACAAACUAUGACUAAUUAGUUAUUGAUAGGAAUGGUGGGCACAUUUGAUGAAGAAUGAAGGCAUCAUAUGCAUCAACCGCCGCAGCCAGCGGAAUACACGGCCCUUAAUUUUAUGAGCUGGGUAGAGGACAGUUUCAGGGGCAGGGCACUAAGAAUUGAGGGCAUCAUAUGCGAGCAAGCAUUUUGUUAAUGGUGCCAACACCACAAGAAGAACGCACCAUGCUAUACACACAGAAAAAUAAUGCACAAAAACUCUUACAUGCUAUUAUAUGUAGCUCUUCAAUCCAUUGGCAAAUCAUAGGCAAUCUAUAAUUCCCUGAAGUUUGCAUGCUAGAGACUUUACAGGGAAGAAAUAUAGCUUGAAUUGUACCUAUUCGACCCCCAUUUGUUUUUCUUAUUGGCCGGCUUUUUUUAUUUAUUUAUUUUUUUAUCGUCUUGGAAAGUUCGAAAUGAAAAUUCCCUUUUUUUUCUCUUUUCGUUGGGCUAAUUAUCUGCAUGCAAAAAAUAUCUUAAUGAAUAAAAUCUUCGCUAUCGAUAUAAGAUAGUGAUCGGGAGUAUGUCCACUAAUACCCAUUAAGCAUGUCAAAUCAUAUUGAAUGUUUUCCCUAAAGAAAUAUAAGCAAAAAACCUUCAAUUUGAGCACUUAUUUGUAAAAUAAUAUUACAACCAAGGAUCUAAAUAGCUUUUUCCAAAAAUGUAGGGAGCAAAAAUAAAAUGAGUGAGAGACUAUUUAUAUUUUUAGGCACGGGCUAAUGUUAUAUUUAUCCUUGUAUUUAUGCUAAUUAUUUAUUUUUAUUGUUGUGCUUUUUAUUUCGUCAAUUAACUUUUUUGUUCUUCAAAUUCGUUUUAUUAACUUUUGUGGUCUCUAAAUUUGUUCAUUUAUUUAAAUAAAUAGCUCGCUUGCCUCAAUAACUCUCAAUUCUAAGAUGACUCUUUAUUAAAUUUAUAUUUAUGUAGGGCUUUUAUCACAAAAUAAACUAUAUAUCUUAGAUUUAUUUUUCUUAAGACAAUUUAUUUGGUCAUUAUUAUCAAUUAAACUUUACCUUCCUCAGAGAACGUAGAUAAUUCAUUACUUAGGAUAAUCUUCCGAGGAUGAUAUAUAUGUCCAAGUAAGAAUUGGAUUAAAGUAAAAAGGUUUAUUGUGCUAUUUGAGAUUGUGGUUGAAUUAUAUUUUUGAAAAAUGUUGAUUUUUUUUUAGCUUUAUAUUAAUAUUUUUUUGUGUGUGUUUUUGAAUUGUUUUGAUGUGUUAAUAUUAAAAAAUAAAAAAAAUAUUAUUUUGAAAAUAUUUAUUUUAAACUUUAGACCUUGUAUGUAUAUAAAAAAUCACAACAUACAAAAAGCAUUUAAAUAUUAUCAUAUAAUUAGUAUGCAUAGUUAACAUGAAGACUUGAAAGAAGUUAACUUGAACACAUUCAAAGACACAAGGGUUACUUGAAUAGAAUUAGAAACACGAAGGGUUAUUGAUCACAUUAAAAAAAGAAGAACAGGGAUAAGAAUGAAUAAUUAACAUAAAUACAGGGGUAAAAUACAUUGAUAGAAGCAUUUUCAGGUUUCAUGGAACUUCCUUGCAAGUUUUGCUGCAAAUUCCAUAAUAUGAUCUUAUCAGAGCUCCCACCUUCAUCUACUGCUAUCUUGGCUAGUUUCAUCCAUUUCUCAGAGUUCCUUCUCAUCUUAUUCCCUCUUUCACCUUCCAUGACUUUCUUUAUAAGCCUUUCUACCUCUUCUUUAGACACAAUCCCCUUUUCAUUUGCCUUCACUCUAACUCCUACAUGCCAAACAUCGGCAAUGGACUCCUCCGCAAAGUUGCUUGAAAGUUUUUUCCCUUCUGAUUCUCUAUUGGAAAUAUCAUGCGUCAUGUGUUUAUAUUCUAGUCGUACUCCAUCAUCUGUUAGCUCCUGAAAUUGUGGUUAUAGUUAAAGAUAAUACCGUGUACUGUUACAAUUUAAAUCCUAUAUGUAAUAGGAUAACAAUCCGAGAGAGAUUGAAACAGAGUCUAGCUUUGUUUCCCUAUAUAUAUGUAUGUAACUUUGCUGGACAAUUAAUAAGAAAAACGUGAAUCUCUUUCACUCCUAAAUUCUUCAUUCUCUGAUGACUACCCACAGGAAGCAGCAAUCACUCCUCUUUAAUUAGGCCCCAAGCAAUUUCUUCCACUUGCUCCUCUUCCAGUGCAGCCAUGCUUCCAAAUGACACAUAAACCACUGAGCCAGUUUCCUUUGAAUCUAGCUAGCCACUCAUUGCAACCGUCCAGAUUAGGAUUGAAGAGGCUUAGACCGUACUCUUUGUCAUCCUCCAGCUGCUUGUCCAAGUGAAAUGAUGGGAUCAUUGGUCCUAUUGGCUUUAUUGACCUUUGGCUUGCCAACCAGUUUACCGCCUGAUGGAAAUCAACAAAAUUUUGAGUGCCACAGAAGUAAAAGGAGCAUACUUUGAAAGUAUGGUAUCAUCUUAUGAACAACGAAAACAGAAUUUAAAUAGGAAUUUGAAGCAUUUUUGCUCUCGUAUAUGUUUCUUUGCUUGUCAAUCAGUUGUUGACUGCUUGCUUGCUUGAUCGCACAUUUGUUUGCUUUGUUAUCUCUGGCUUCCCUUGGACGAAGAACUUUAUUGGAUGGCUGUCGGGGAACCUGAGUAGGGAAACGGGUGAAAUCAACGUAUUGAGACUUGCUUAAGAUAAAAGGUUAGAGAGAUUAAAUAACCAAAUCAUGGCAAGAGGGGAAACAUGGUGGAAAGUAAAACAGGGAGUGGGAUAUAUCCACACAGCAAUGGUAAAGGAAUAAAAAGAAUUUACGAGCAAGGUAUAUUUUUAUUAAAAUGUUUUUUUUUAAGCCUUUUUGAACUUAUGUUUUUUUAAUUUUUAACCUUGCGGAAUAUAUUGACGGACUUAUUAUUAUUCCGCAACAAUGCUACAAAAUUUUAACUGGUGUUUACUUGAACACUUUUUGUAUAAUUCUUUUUUAAAUUUUAUUUUUCAAUUUCAUUUUAAUUCUUUAGAAUCAUUUUCUCAUUCUAGAAACAUUUAUUUUAAAUUCUCCUUAUUUUUUUAUUCAUAUAAAUUUGUUAUUAAUUUCACAGUCAUUAUAAAUUUUAAAUUAAAAUUCACAAUCCUCAUUUUAACUUCAACAAUAUCUUUAAAUUCUUUUGUGGAGGUCAUCGCUUUUAUUACAUGCCUUAUUUUUUAUUUUUGUUGUUAUUUUUAUCCCGAACUUUCAUUAGUCUUCAAAACCUUACUAUUUUGGUUUUACUUUUUACACGCUGGGUUCACAAUUUGUUUUUAACAAGUUAUUAGUUAUUAGGUAGUCAGUUUAAGUUUGCUUUAUUGAUGUUCAGAUUAUAAGUUAUCUAACGUUAUCUUUGUUUCUUUUCUUUUCAAUGUUUAGCCUUGUUCUUAAUUACGAAAUCAAUUGCUUAAUAAAAUUCUGGUUGUGCAUUCUCCGAUCAUUUGUAAGGCUACAUGAAUAUGAUGGAAUUCCUUUAGUUUUUUAUAGGUUGAUAUUAUCUUAUUGAAUUAUUAUAAAACACCCUAAAAUAGUAAAAUUAAAUAUAUGUAUUGAAGAGUUGUAAACUUAUUCCAUAGUUUUUUCUCUAUGAUAUAUGUGAGGUUUUUCACCAUGCUUUCUUCCUAGGCCCCGUUUAUUUGCUGGAAAGUAGUUUUCUUUUGGAAAGUAAAUUCCGGGAAAAGUGAAUUCCAGGAAAGUAUAUUUCGAUGUUUGGUAGUGUAAUGGAAAAUAAGUUGGAAAACACUUUCCAGUGUUUGAUUGUGUCAUGGAAAAUGAGCUGGAAAAUAACUUAUUAAUGUUUAUUUUUCUCAAGUUUAUUAAAAUAAUGAGGAACAAAUCUUACAAAUUAAAAAAUUGAAUGAGAAUGAAAUUGAAAAAAACUAUAAUUUCAUAAAUUAUCUCAAAUAAAAUAAAUAAUAAUCAAAAUAAUAGAGAUCAAAUCUAAAAAAUUAAAAAAAAAAUGAAAGAUAAAGAAAUAAAAAUAAUAAUAAUUAACAUUUCAUAAAUUAUUUCAAAUAAAAUAAGUAACAAUCAAAAGAAUGAGGAUCAAAUUUGAUAGAUAAAAAUUUUCAAUAAAAAAUGAUAAGGAAAAAACAAAUAGCAAUUAUAAAAAUAAGGACCAAAGUUAAUAUAAAAAUUAAAUUUUAAGAGAUGAAAUUGAAAAAUAAAUAUUCAAAACAAAUUAUAUAGCAAUCAAAAGUUUGAGGAUCAAAUUUGAUAUAAUCAACAAAUAAUGACAUUUCUAAAUUUUUCACAACUUCCGGAAAGUGUUUUCCGUUCAAAUUUUCCAGGAAAACACUUUCCUGAAAACCAAGCCAAAUUUUCCUUUGACUGGAAAGUGUUUUCCGUUGACCAACUUUUCUAAUGUCAAACAAACACAGGAAAGUUUGGAAAGUGAUUUUCCGGAAACCACUUUCCGGAAAACAAACACAGCCAAAGGGAAAACACUUUCCUGAAAACCAAACCAAAUUUUUCUUUGACUGGAAAGUGUUUCCGUUGACCGGAAAGUGUUUUUUUCCCUUGAUCAACUUUUCUAAUGGCAAACAAACACAGGAAAGUUUGGAAAGUGAUUUCCUGAAAACUACUUUUCAGGAAACAAACAUGGCCUUAAUUUAGUUCAAUCAAACUCAUCUUUUUAAGCAACAGCAAUAAUAAAUAAAUAAAACUUUAAAAAAUGUUCCUUAAUUAUCCUGUUAGAAAAAAACUGAGAUUAUAGAUGGAAAGAGUGCUAAAAUCUCAAGGAACAAAUAAGACGUUCAGAUCAAAGAAAUACGAAAGGCAAAUACAGUGAAACAUCACAGCACGUUUUUCUCUUAAAUUGCGUGAUGGGAAAUUUAGAAAAUAUUGAAUAAUACUAGGAUUGAUUCUUUAACUUUCUUGUCUAACCUUAAGGCUUAAUAAGAAAAUUUAGAUGAAAUACAAGAGUUAUGUUAAGCAGCUAUCAUAGAAUCAUUUUCAGGUUUCAUGGAACUUCCUUGCAAGUUCUGCUGCAAAUUCCGUAAUAUUCUUAUCAGAGCUUCCGCCUUCAUCCACUGCUGUCUUGGCUAGUUUCAUCCAUUUCUCAGAGUUCCUUCUCAUCUCACUCCCUCUUUCACCUUCCAUGACUUCCCUUAUACACCCUUCUACCUCUUCUUUAGUGACAAUCCCCUUUUCAUUUGCCUUCACUCUAACGCCUACAUGCCAAACAUCGGCAAUGUACUUUGCAUUUGUUGGUUGAUCAGUCCACUGUGGCAUUGCCACCAUUGGCACUCCUAAGCUCAACGCCUCGAGUGCUGAGUUCCACCCACAAUGUGUCAUGAAGCAACCAACAGACUUGUGAGCCAGAACCUCUAGCUGCUGGCUCCAGGUCACAAUCAGACCCUUCUCUGAUGACUCCUCCGCAAAGUUGCUUGGAAGUUUUUUCUUCUCCGAUUCUCUGACUACCCACAAGAAGUUGCAGUCACUCCUCUUUAGGCCCCAAGCAAUUUCUUCCAUUUGCUCCUCUCCCAGUGCAGCCAUGCUUCCAAAUGACACAUAUACCACGGAGCCAGUUUCCUUUGAAUCUAGCCACUCCAUGCAGCCGUCCAGAUUAGGUUUGAAGAGGCUGGGACCGUACUCUCUGUCGUCCUCGAGCUGCUUGUCCAAGUAAAAUGAAGGAAUCAUUGGUCCUAUUGGCUUUAUUGACCUUUGACUUGCCAACCAGUUUACCGCCUGAUAGAAAUCAGCAGGACUUUUUAGUGCCGCAAAAAGUAAAAGUAGCAUAUUUAGAAAAUAUGAACAAAGAACAAAGAAUUUAAAUAGGAAUUUGAAGCAUUGCUGCUCUCGUAUAUGUUGCUUUGCUUGUCAAUCAAUUGUUGACUAGUUGCUUGUUUGAUUGCACAUUUGUUUGCUUUGUUAACAAUUAUAUAUGUAUUAAGAUCAAGACAUGCAUUUCAUAUAUAGAGGAGAUCUUUAGUGGUACCUCUUCCUCCAGGGUGCUGAAAGUGUUGACAAAGAUCCAAUCAGCUUCCCUGAAAUUCGAAAACUGACCGACCACAUGGUUCAGUAGUAAUGAAUGUUCUGAUUCUGAAUCCAUACCUUGCACGAAUGAUGGUAGAUCGGUAAUUUCUAGUGCUGAAAGUGCUGGCAAACGUGAAACUGUUACCAGCAACUUCUCUGGUGGAAUCUUUAGCUGCAUCUCAUGAACGUUGUAGUAGACAUUGUCAACGGCACACGACUGUGUGAAGAGCGAAGCCCCAGUGAGGCCAAGCUGUCUAGCUGUGUCUAGAAGCCAAGGCAAGUGGGAGUCAUACAGAAGGCAACUUAUUGGAUGCCCAGAAGAAUUGUUUAGUUCUGCAACGAGUUCUGGCAAUUUUCGUGUCACCGUAGCUCGGAGCUGUUUUAAGUAGUCAUCUGACGAAAGCUUGCCUUCAUAGCUAACAAAAUCUAUGGUCACAACUUCGACCGAGCCAAGUCGGUGGGUAUGCUUGAGCACCUUGCUUGAGAAGAUCACUAUUGUCACCUGGACUCCUUUGGAGGCUAGGCGCUUGGAGAAUUGCAUCAUUGGGUUGAUGUGACCUUGAGCAGGAACAGGUAUGGCCAGUACAUGACUCUUACUCUUUCUUUCUUGCUUCUCCAUUAAUUUCUCUAACCAAACCCGUCUAUUUGCCUUCCAUUCUCCUGAGUAGAACUACUACUUUUAUAUAUAUGUAAGCAUGUUGUAUCCAAAUUGUAGCAGUGGACCAUAGUCAUGGUCAAACCAGUCGUACUUGGCAGACAAGGAAGGAACAAACGUGGUAACCAAGUUUACAAAGCUUGGAGGCUACUCUUUUUUUUUUUCUUUUUUUUUUUAACACUACACUACAUUUUUUUUUUAAGUAUAGGCGUCAUCGUUGAUAAUUGGAUUAAAGUUUAUUACACAAUUAAUUGAAGUUUUUCAUGCGUUUUUCUAAAGUUUUAUUUAUUUAUUUAUUGUUGUUGUUGUUUAAAAAGAUGAUGAGUUUGAUUGGAUUGAAGUUUAAGAUGGAAAGAGUGAUACAAUCUCAAGACUUUGAUUUUGUUGGCUCAUAUUCUUUGGAGUUUUAGGCCGCUCAUUCCUCUAGUUAUUGUCUUCUACUUAUUGUCGACAAUGAAGAAUUGUAGCUUGAAGUGUCCAACUUUUCUAUCCCCAUGUUUUCUCCUAUUGGCCAUGUGGUCUUCUAUUGACUUGGAAAAUUCAAAAUGAAGACUCCCUGCCGUCUUCUAUUGACCUGAGGGUUUUUGAUUUUUUGGAUUUCCCUUUUCUCCUUUAUAUAUAUAUAUAUAUAUAUAUAUAUAUAUAUAUUCUUCUUUUCUUUUCUACACAAUUAAUUAAGUUUAUUACAUGGGGGCUUUCUGUAAUUUUCCAAACUUUCCUCCUUUUUCCCACAUCAUCGAUUUAUUCUUUUUUAUUUUUUAUGCCCUUCCAUUUCUGACAGAAAUUUGGAAGAUUCAAUUCCUUCUUAAGGUUUUUUGUUUUUUUUUUUAAAGAAAAAAACAUCAUUUUUAUCAAUUCAGAAUUACAUCCCAAAUCUAUAUAUUUUAUCAAGGUUUUUUAGAAAAGUAGUUUAUGAUUUUAAAAUAGAAAGACCUAAUGAAUUAUGAAGGUUUUUUAGAAAAGUUAAGAAAACUAAUAAUUAAACCUAAUGAACUUAGUCCUUGAACUAAAAAAGCCUUACAAUUUAAACCCAAUUACUCAUGGCCGAUUGAAAAUAUUUAUUUUGAACAUCAACAGUGAUAUAAAAAAUCACACCAUAGCAAAAACAUAGCCAUUUUCUUUAAUUUUGUAACAAAGAAUAUAUCUCAUAGGCAUUUUCUUUAUUUUUUUGUAUACCAAAAUAAAAGACACUGAUAAUACAUUUUUCCUUUUCUUUUAUUUUGGUGAAUAUAGAUGGCGAUUGGAUAGCAUAUCGGAUCUCGAGAGUUACUUUAUUUUAUCUUAUUAUUACACUUUCUAAGAAGAAUACUAAUAUUCUACUAAUAAAAAAACGAAAAGGUAACUGGAUAAAUUUAUCUGUGAAUUGUGAUAUAUGAAAACAAAACAUAUAAAUCCAACAGGAUUUAAAGACUAACAUUUUCGUUCAUGCUAGCCUUUUCACUUAUAUAUAUAUAUAUAUAUAUAUAUAUCCUACAAUAUUUCACAUAUUUACUUUGCUCUUUUUCUGUUAUUGUAGGGCAACUGUGAUAUUUGGAAUUCAACUUUUUUGAAAACGGUGAGGAUUAGUUCAUGUAUGUCUUAUUAAAUUACAAUCUUCCUCUUACAAAAAUGGAUGUUUCGGUUCAAAGAGUUAAUCUAAAUAUUUGGUGUUAAUUUAUAUAAUUAUACUUAAUAUGUUUAGAAGCAUCAUAAAAUUAUUACAAUACGAAAUUCCUUAAUAAUUUUUCUUGAAGGGAUGGUUUUAAAAAAGUUUAAUGCAUGUUGGGAAUAAAUAGAGAUUUUUUUAAUAUUUUAUUUUCCUUAUAAGAGGUUAUUAUAAUUUAAUUAAGAAUCUUACGAUUGUUAAAAUAUAUAUGAUGUAUAAACUACACUUGAUGCGAACCUCGUUAUCACGUAGUCACGCAACCCACAAUCAAGAUUGAGAUCUGAUCCUAGAAAGCCGAUAUAUGUCUGAUAGAAGUGUGACACAAUGUACACCUGUCCCAAAGCACCACACUAUUGGAAUGAGGAGAUGACACCAUGAAGCNNNNNNNNNNNNNNNNNNNNNNNNNNNNNNNNNNNNNNNNNNNNNNNNNNNNNNNNNNNNNNNNNNNNNNNNNNNNNNNNNNNNNNNNNNNNNNNNNNNNGUUAAUCUUCGAUAAGUCAGAUUUAGUUCGUUCAAGAACUGAAGAAUGCGAGAAUCACUCUCACACGUUAAAACUGAAAAAAUCUAAAAGUAAUAAUCAUCAAAAGUGCCGAAAUUUAGGUUACAUGUGUUUAAAUAGUUCGUAAAAGUAACCCUAAUGGAUCUACCCUUGUGGGCUGAAUUGACCUAUAUACAAAACUGACCCAAAAACACUAAACUAAAAAGACCAUAACCUGAUCCAAACAAGCCUUGGAUCCUAGCUCAAAACAAAGUUUUAAUUAAGCCCAAACAUGAAAGAAAGUAAUAAAAAUAGCUAAUUUGUCAUUAAAUACCACUAGCUUUUCUUUCCUUGUGUAGCUAGGGUGAAUACGGAAUCCUUAUAAGAAAAUGAUUCUAAAACAUUAAUGAAUCAUUGCCACACUUGGAGAUUAUACUGCAGCUCAUUAAAGAUCCUAGUGGAACUGGGAAAUUCCCAAAACCAGCUGCCACAUCCUUGUAGGAAAAGAAUCCUAACCAAAUAGGAAGUCCACAAGUCAAAUGGAAAUAAAUAACAAAAUUCAUACAACCUCUGUUGACCAGUAUUGCGGUGCCUUCCCAAAGUCCGAUUGAUCUGAAAUUUUAACUCAUAGUAGGAAAACAUGUCUGGCGAGUCCACAAAACAUUUUAACCCUAUCCAACGGUCGGAUUGAGAAUUAUAAUUGUUGCCGUAAACCUGGAUUGUUGCGUUUUUUAUGCCAAAAUCUGAAUCUGACGUUACUUGGGUCGUAUCACAAGGCUGAAUCGUAUCAACACUACUUGUGCUCAUCGGUAAGUAUUCUCUCUUUCUCAUUAAAUGUAUGUAUUAAGAUGCAAAAUCAUUAAGGGCGAUAUUAUCUCUAAGUUUUGGUACUUCAAUGGUUUCAUCCAUGCAUUACCUUUUGCUUAUUUUCAUCAUUUAAAUUGUUAAAAAUAAGUCUUUCAAAUCUAAAUUUCUCAAUUCAACUCUAAUUACUUAUUUUCUUGCAAUCAAUGUCAAUUUUUCCAUUAAAUAUGAAGAAGUGUAAAAAAAAAGAUAAAACAAAUUAUAAAAAAUGACAAAUGGGAAACAUUAGGAAAAAAAAAUCAAACUUAAAAUUUAUUUGAAUUUUGAAUUUUUUUCUAAUAGUUCUCAAUUGUUGAUUUUAUACAUUUUUUAAUUAUUCCUUUUUUAAAAUUAUAGGUGUAAAAUUCUAUAUUCUUGGCAUGCGUUGACAUUUAAUGGAAAUAUUGGUCAAAUCACAAUAGAGGGAUGAUAUUAAAAAAUAUAUAGAGUAAAGGGACUGUAUGAAUAAAAAAAUAAUAUUAAAGAAUAUCAAAAAUAGAGGUUUGGAAUAUACAAUUAUUUCAUUGUUUAUUAGAGCUCUAAGUUUAAAAUUAGAGGAUUAGGAUGGAAUUAAAAAAUGAAUUAAAGUUUGUGGACUCAUUUUAAUUACAGCUCUAACAAAUAAAGAGAGAUAUUUUAUAAGGUAAUGAAUAAAAUGACAAAAUCUGAAAACAACAUAUAUAGGCAAGAAAAAAUCAAUAUAUAUUUUUUAAUGUUUUUAUGUUUUGCAUUUUCCCUAAAAUCAUUGGAAUCUUAGUUAAAUAUUAUUUGCUGAUAAGAAUUUCAAAUUUGAAAAAAUUUGAUGCUUUUGUGGAUAUAUAUUUAAAUUAAGAAUCAUAAUUUCAUUUAGAAAAAAAGUAUUUACAUGGCAAUCUAAUAACAAAUAAUAUAUUUCUAUAAUUGAUUAAUGUUCUUAUAAUGUCUAUAUGCAGAGAUAUAUCAUACAUUAUUAUUCCUUUAUGGGCUUCCAUGUCUCAUAACCUUAUUGAUCUACAAAUGGCGAAGAAGGCAUUUAUCAAUAUAUGGUAACAUUGAAGAAUUCUUGCAAAGUCAUGAUCAUAAUCUCACGCUUAUAAGGUGCUCUUACUCGGAGAUUAAGAAGAUAACUCACGGAUUCAAUGACAAGUUAGGUGAAGGAGGUUAUGACUCGGUGUAUAAAGGAAAGCUUCGUAGUGGUCGUUUUGCGGCUGUAAAAAUUUUGCACAGAGAAAAAGCUAAUGAGCGAGAAUUUAUCAAUGAAGUUGCCACCAUUGGAAGAAUUUACCAUUGCAAUAUGGUGCAACUCAUAGGCUUUACUGUUGAAGGCUCGAAGCGUGCUCUUAUAUAUGAGUUCAUGCCUAAUGAAUCUCUUGAAAAAUAUAUUUUUUCUAGGCAAGGUAGCAUACUGCUGAGCAACCAGAAAAUAUAUGAAAUUUCUCUUGGAGUGGCUCGUGGCAUUGAAUAUCUACAUCAAGGUUGUGACAUGUAGAUUUUGCAUUUUGACAUCAAACCUCACAACAUUCUUCUCGAUGAAAAUUUCACUCCAAAAGUCUUAGAUUUUGGACUAGCAAAAUUGUAUCCAACUAAUGAUAGCGUUGUGUCCCUUACUAUGGCUAGAGGAACGAUGGGAUACAUGGCUCCUGAGUUAUUUUACAAAAGCAUUGGAGGCGUCUCUUACAAAGCCGAUGUCUAUAGUUUUGGGAUGUUGUUGAUGGAAAUGGUUGGGAGAAUGAAAAAUCUGAAUGCAUUGGCAAAUCAUUCUAGUCAGAAGUACUUCCCUUCAUGGAUUUAUGACCAGGUUAAUGAAAGAAAGGAUAUACUUGAAGAUCAAGUGAUAGAGCAGGAAAAGAACACAAUAAAAAAAGAUGAUUAUAGUGGCAUUAUGGUGCAUACAAUUGAAGCCUAUUGAUCGUCCCUCGAUGCACAGAGUUGUACAAAUGCUUGAAGCAGAUAUUGAAUCUCUACAAAUGUCUCCUAAGCCUUUUCUCGUUCCACAACAGACAUCAAAUGAUGAUAAGAUCAAUUUGGCUAAUCCAACAAGUUUAAGAGAUCCAUCGAAUAUUUGCAGCAUCGAUUCUUCAUAUCAGUUCGGUCGUUGAUAUAAAUACUUGUUUAUUUACGUAAUAUGUUAAUUUUGUAUGCCUUAACUAUCUGAAUUUUGAUGAUAGUCGAAAUCAUAUGGAUGUUUGUUAAAACUUGCAAUUAACUAUCUUACAAAACACCUAAUAUAAUAUAUAUUUUUUGAUUAAACACCGAUCCCAGAAGCUAUAGCCACAAAAAAAUAUGAACUUGCUUGUGAAAACAACCUUCCAACUUUAUACUUGAAGAAGAUAAGAUAUUUUGUUGAGCCAAUCAAUUAUAGUAACUUUCACUAACUCUUUUUUUCCUUGUGAUUUUUCUCUAGUUCUAGAUUAAGCAUAAUAUAUAUUUAGUUAAUGAAUGGAGUUACGAAUCAUGAUUAUUUGUGCAAACUAACUCUCGUAGAGAACACUUGUUGGGUGGGUUCUUUGGGAAAUUUUUUAAACUUAUGAAAUAAAAUUAUCACCUAAUAUUAUGGUGAUGAAAUGGAGUUGCCAAUUAAUACCAUCCCUAAAACAUCAUAUCUAAAGUAGAUUGUAUUAUCAAUCUUGUCUUAAUUGCUAAUAGUUUGUUAUCCUAUACAGCUAUGGUUUAUUUACUUAUAGGGUGAAAGUGAGUUCAUCAUAAUAGAUUAAACUCUUGGUAUAUUAGUCUUAUGAGCCUUUUGGUUGUGACAAAAUCUUAAUGGGUCUAAUAAACUAGUGAUUAAAUUCAAAUAUACAUGCACAAAGAUUUUUUUAAAAAAAUAAGAUAAGAAUAUUUUUAUUCAGAUGCUAACAUAAAACAAAAACAUUUUUUUAUUUUAGAUUUUUAUGCUACUACAAGUAUUUUUAUAAAAUGCUAAAAUAUAUAAAAAUAUAUAUAUUUUUGCCUUCUUUUCUUUUCCUUUUUUUUUUUAAGACAAAUGCUUCUUCUUCUUUUUUAUAAUGAUAGAAUAUACAAAAAUAAUUUUUUUUUUAAAGACUUGUACAUAAUUCCUAAUGCACACCGAAAAACCUAACAUAAAAUUUGAUUAUUUUUUUUUCCCUCUUGAACGUGAGUACGCUUGACCCUAACCCUUCAAACCCAUGAACGCAGCUCAAAUAAUCAAAACCAUAGCUGAAAACCCAUGAACAUUUAUCAAGGAAAGCCUAAGCCCAGCCUAGUGUACAUUGAAACCUAAAAACACUAACCCACAGCCCCGUUAGCCUAUAGCCCAUCACAUGUGGCCCAAAUUAGAAGCCAAACGAUCCAAAAGAAGACGCACAUUAGCCCAUUAUCAUACAAAACCCAGAUCCACCUAAAGCUCAACUCUUUUAUUGACCCUAAUCCCUAAACACAAAUUCACGCAGCAAGUAGAGGCGUGGAAGGAAAGAAGGAAGAGCAAAGAAACUACUGCAACUUGAAACAAACAGGAUGCAUGCUUAGAUCAAUCAAAUUGUAACUUUUUCUAAACAUCUCUUCAAAAAUCAUUGCAAUAGUAAAAAGAAAUCAAUCCCAUUCUCUCGUCAUUCUUCUUUUUAUACAAACAAAAACACCCAUAAGUGGAAUGAAUUCAUGGAAGCAAGCUGAAGUGUUAAGAACAAAAAAAAAGGAACAUACCUGGAAAGAUGAUGGUACUACUCUUGAAGAAAAGGCAAAGUAUUUGUUUCACCAAUAAAAUCCACAAGAGACCAGCAAUAGUUGUUAAUGUCAGCUUUCACCUUGGCUUUUUUUUUUUCUCAACUCCAACCCCUCUAUACAGAUAAUUUUCUCCAUUCCAUAGAAUAAAAGUACAUCAGGUGCGGAAGUCCAUCAUCGCCUCUCAGUGUUUGAAGGAGAAAUAGAAGUGGAAGUCAAUGGUGGACUUCCGCACCUGAUGUACCUUUCAUAACUCAAAUCAUAUAAAUUACACAAUCAUGUCAUUAUAAAUCAACAGAAUUGUUUUCUUUUAAUUACGAAGGAGAUAUUCGAAUUUAAAAUCUCUUGAAAUAAAAAAUGACACUUUUCACCAAUCUUGUUUUCAAGAUGGUGGCAUUUUCCCUCCUAUUUAAAAUUCCAACACCAAAAAGAAAGAAAGAAAAAAAAACUCUUUAACUCAACGCAAUACAAGGGAACAUCAACAAUAAAAAGCAGAAAUAAGCUCUCUCAAUAUAACACGUUACAGAUUACAGCUUCCGGAGAUCAAAAGUCUAUUUUACAGUCAAAACCACAUUUUCUCCUCCCCAUUUUCUUUUCUUUUCCCCCAAAUUUUUGAAACGAGGAGCUGCUAGAGUUACAUGAGUGUCACGCAGACAUUGAUAUCUCAUUUGAAAGGCGCGCCAAAAGAUUGCAACUCUCCACAACUUAAAUAUAUAGGUAGGAUAAUUUGGGAGCGAUUGGUCCAAAAAUGAACUAAGGUGUGUGUGUGUGUAAUUAAUGUCUUGAUGAUGAUCGGCAUGACAAAUAAAAAUAGUGUACAGUAAUGAGAAGGAUGGAAAAUGGUUGGUUCGAUUAGCUGGUUGUUCAGGUUAUGAGCAUCCGC
This 26055-nucleotide long non-coding RNA is filed under the name Populus trichocarpa (black cottonwood). RNAcentral describes it as "long non-coding RNA (PTRI_LNC001301)". Lineage: Eukaryota; Viridiplantae; Streptophyta; Magnoliopsida; Malpighiales; Salicaceae. The record is from RNAcentral.